RNAcentral lists this ribosomal RNA (495 nucleotides) under uncultured bacterium. RNAcentral's name for it is "partial 16S ribosomal RNA". It matches the Rfam family "Bacterial small subunit ribosomal RNA", at positions 28 to 507 of the family's 1533-position model. The record is from RNAcentral.
GACGAACGCUGGCGGCGUGCCUAAUACAUGCAAGUAGAACGCUGAAGGAGGAGCUUGCUCUUCUGGAUGAGUUGCGAACGGGUGAGUAACGCGUAGGUAACCUGCCUGGUAGCGGGGGAUAACUAUUGGAAACGAUAGCUAAUACCGCAUAACAGUAGAUGUUGCAUGACAUUUGCUUAAAAGGUGCAAUUGCACCACUACCAGAUGGACCUGCGUUGUAUUAGCUAGUUGGUGGGGUAACGGCUCACCAAGGCGACGAUACAUAGCCGACCUGAGAGGGUGAUCGGCCACACUGGGACUGAGACACGGCCCAGACUCCUACGGGAGGCAGCAGUAGGGAAUCUGCGGCAAUGGACGGAAGUCUGACCGAGCAACGCCGCGUGAGUGAAGAAGGUUUUCGGAUCGUAAAGCUCUGUUGUAAGAGAAGAACGAGUGUGAGAGUGGAAAGUUCACACUGUGACGGUAUCUUACCAGAAAGGGACGGCUAACUACGUG